Transfer RNA from Tuber melanosporum (Perigord truffle), 73 nucleotides. It matches the Rfam family "tRNA". From Rfam's summary of the family: Transfer RNA (tRNA) molecules are approximately 80 nucleotides in length. Their secondary structure includes four short double-helical elements and three loops (D, anti-codon, and T loops). Further hydrogen bonds mediate the characteristic L-shaped molecular structure. tRNAs have two regions of fundamental functional importance: the anti-codon, which is responsible for specific mRNA codon recognition, and the 3' end, to which the tRNAs corresponding amino acid is attached (by aminoacyl-tRNA synthetases). tRNAs cope with the degeneracy of the genetic code in two manners: having more than one tRNA (with a specific anti-codon) for a particular amino acid; and 'wobble' base-pairing, i.e. permitting non-standard base-pairing at the 3rd anti-codon position. Lineage: Eukaryota; Fungi; Ascomycota; Pezizomycetes; Pezizales; Tuberaceae. The record is from Rfam.
GCUCUGAUGGCCAAGUUGGUAAGGCGCGUCACUAGUAAUGACGAGAUCAACGGUUCAAAUCCGUUUCAGAGCA